GAUGAACGCUGGCGGCGUGCCUAAUACAUGCAAGUCGAGCGAACAGACGAGGAGCUUGCUCCUCUGACGUUAGCGGCGGACGGGUGAGUAACACGUGGAUAACCUACCUAUAAGACUGGGAUAACUUCGGGAAGCCGGAGCUAAUACCGGAUAAUAUAUUGAACCGCAUGGUGCAAUAGUGUAAGACGGUUUUGCUGUCACUUAUAGAUGGUUCCGCGCCGCAUUAGCUAGUUGGUAAGGUAACGGCUUACCACGGCGACGAUGCGUAGCCGACCAGGGAGAGGGUCCGGCGACACUGGAACAGGAUGACCGGCCAGACUCCUACGGGGAGCAGGAGUAGGGAACCACGCGCGACAGGCGUAAGCAUGUCGGAGCAACGCGGGAUGGGUGAACAAAGUCAUGCGGUCGUAAAGCUCAGUUCUUAGGGAACAACAACUGUGUAAGUCACAAUAGAAGUAAUGACGGUAUCUAGUCAGAAAGCCACGGCUAACUACGUG
This 497-nucleotide ribosomal RNA is filed under the name uncultured bacterium. RNAcentral describes it as "partial 16S ribosomal RNA". It matches the Rfam family "Bacterial small subunit ribosomal RNA", at positions 28 to 507 of the family's 1533-position model. The record is from RNAcentral.